RNAcentral lists this ribosomal RNA (556 nucleotides) under uncultured bacterium. RNAcentral describes it as "partial 16S ribosomal RNA". It matches the Rfam family "Bacterial small subunit ribosomal RNA", at positions 355 to 932 of the family's 1533-position model. The record is from RNAcentral.
UGGGGAAUAUUGGACAAUGGGCGCAAGCCUGAUCCAGCCAUGCCGCGUGAGUGAUGAAGGCCUUAGGGUUGUAAAGCUCUUUCGCCGGUGAAGAUAAUGACGGUAACCGGGGAAGAAGCCCCGGCUAACUUCGUGCCAGCAGCCGCGGUAAUACGAAGGGGGCUAGCGUUGCUCGGAAUCACUGGGCGUAAAGCGCACGUAGGCGGAUCGUUAAGUCAGGGGUGAAAUCCUGGAGCUCAACUCCAGAACUGCCCUUGAUACUGGCGAUCUCGAGUUCGAGAGAGGUUGGUGGAACUCCGAGUGUAGAGGUGAAAUUCGUAGAUAUUCGGAAGAACACCAGUGGCGAAGGCGGCCAACUGGCUCGAUACUGACGCUGAGGUGCGAAAGCGUGGGGAGCAAAACAGGAUUAGAUACCCUGGUAGUCCACGCCGUAAAACGAUGGAUGCUAGCCGUUGGGGGGUUUACCUCUCAGUGGCGCAGCUAACGCCUUAAGCAUCCCGCCUGGGGAGUACGGUCGCAAGAUUAAAACUCAAAUGAAUUGACGGGGUCAUAGCUG